RNAcentral lists this ribosomal RNA (586 nucleotides) under uncultured bacterium. RNAcentral describes it as "bacterial SSU rRNA". It matches the Rfam family "Bacterial small subunit ribosomal RNA", at positions 338 to 946 of the family's 1533-position model. The record is from RNAcentral.
CCUACGGGAGGCAGCAGUGAGGAAUUUUCCGCAAUGGGCGAAAGCCUGACGGAGCAAUACCGCGUGAGGGAUGAAGGAUUUUGGUCUGUAAACCUCUUUUCUCAAGAAAGAAGUUCUGACGGUACUUGAGGAAUAAGCAUCGGCUAACUCCGUGCCAGCAGCCGCGGUAAUACGGGGGAUGCAAGCGUUAUCCGGAAUGAUUGGGCGUAAAGCGCCUGUAGGUUGUUUAUUAAGUCCGUUGUUAAAGCCUAGGGCUUAACCCUAGAAAAGCAAUGGAAACUAGUAGACUAGAGUAUGGCAGGGGUAGAGGGAAUUUCUAGUGUAGCGGUGAAAUGCGUAGAUAUUAGAAAGAACACCGGUGGCGAAAGCGCUCUACUGGACCAUUACUGACACUCAGAGGCGAAAGCUAGGGUAGCAAAAGGGAUUAGAUACCCCUGUAGUCCUAGCCGUAAACGAUGGAUACUAGAUGUUGUGCAUUAUGUACAGUAUCGUAGCUAACGCGUUAAGUAUCCGCCUGGGGAGUACGCCGCAAGGGUGAAACUCAAAGGAAUUGACGGCNGAGAGNGCGACGACGACACGAGGAGAG